GGACAGAAAGACCCUAUGAAGCUUUACUGUAGUUUGGAAUUGGGUUCGGGCUCUUCUUGCGCAGCCUAGGUGGGAGGCUAUGAAGAUAAACUUUUGGGUUUAUUGGAGCCAACAGUGAGAGACCACUCUAGAGGAGCUAGAAUUCUAAUGGCGUUCCUUGAAGCAGGACGCUUGACAGUUUCAGAUGGGCAGUUUGACUGGGGCGGUCACCUCCUAAAAGGUAACGGAGGUGUGCGAAGGUUCCCUCAGGCUGGACGGAAAUCAGCCGUAGAGUGUAAAGGCAGAAGGGAGCUUGACUGCAAGACCUACAAGUCGAGCAGGGGCGAAAGCCGGCCUUAGUGAUCCGACGGUUCCGAGUGGAAGGGCCGUCGCUAAACGGAUAAAAGUUACUCUAGGGAUAACAGGCUGA
Molecule: ribosomal RNA, 409 nt
Filed under: uncultured organism
Description: bacterial LSU rRNA
Rfam family: Bacterial large subunit ribosomal RNA
Source: RNAcentral